CCUACGGGAGGCAGCAGUGGGGAAUAUUGGACAAUGGGCGCAAGCCUGAUCCAGCAAUGCCGCGUGAGUGAUGAAGGCCUUAGGGUCGUAAAGCUCUUUUACCAGGGAUGAUAAUGACAGUACCUGGAGAAUAAGCUCCGGCUAACUCCGUGCCAGCAGCCGCGGUAAUACGGAGGGAGCUAGCGUUGUUCGGAAUUACUGGGCGUAAAGCGUACGUAGGCGGUUAUUCAAGUCAGAGGUGAAAGCCCGGGGCUCAACCCCGGAACGGCCUUUGAAACUAGGUAGCUAGAAUCUUGGAGAGGUCAGUGGAAUUCCGAGUGUAGAGGUGAAAUUCGUAGAUAUUCGGAAGAACACCAGUGGCGAAGGCGACUGACUGGACAAGUAUUGACGCUGAGGUACGAAAGCGUGGGGAGCAAACAGGAUUAGAUACCCUGGUAGUCCACGCCGUAAACGAUGAUAACUAGCUGUUCGGGCACUUGGUGCUUGAGUGGCGCAGCUAACGCAUUAAGUUAUCCGCCUGGGGAGUACGGUCGCAAGNUUAAAACUCAAAUGAAUUGACGG
This 561-nucleotide ribosomal RNA is filed under the name uncultured bacterium. RNAcentral describes it as "bacterial SSU rRNA". It matches the Rfam family "Bacterial small subunit ribosomal RNA", at positions 338 to 916 of the family's 1533-position model. The record is from RNAcentral.